This 446-nucleotide ribosomal RNA is filed under the name uncultured bacterium. RNAcentral describes it as "partial 16S ribosomal RNA". It matches the Rfam family "Bacterial small subunit ribosomal RNA", at positions 354 to 796 of the family's 1533-position model. The record is from RNAcentral.
GUAAGGAAUAUUGGUCAAUGGGGGCAACCCUGAACCAGCCAUGCCGCGUGAAGGAUGAAGGCGUUAUGCGUUGUAAACUUCUUUUGUAUGGGAAGAAUGACAGGGAUUUAUCCUUGGAGAGACGGUACCAUACGAAUAAGCACCGGCUAACUCCGUGCCAGCAGCCGAGGUAAUACGGAGGGUGCAAGCGUUAUCCGGAAUCACUGGGUUUAAAGGGUACGUAGGCUGUUAAUUAAGUCAGUAGUGAAAGACUGUCGCUCAAAGACGGAUGUGCUAUUGAUACUGGUUAACUUGAAUCAGGUUAGAGUUGGCGGAAUGGGUCAUGUAGCGGUGAAAUGCUUAGAUAUGACUUGGAACACCGAUAGCGAAGGCAGCUGACUGAGCCUUGAUUGACGCUGAGGUACGAAAGUGUGGGUAGCGAACAGGAUUAGAUACCCUGGUAGUCC